GUUGGUGAACCAGCGGAGGGCUCAUUACAGAGUGUAAAAACUCCCAAACCCACUGUGAACUUACCACUGUUGCUUCGGCGGAUCCGCCCCGGGCGCCUCCCCUCAGGGGGUGGUGCCCCGGACCCAGGCGGCCGCCGGGGACCCAAACCUCUGUAUUUUAUGAGUAUUCUCUGAGUGUGAUUUACUAAAUCAAGUCAAAACUUUCAACAACGGAUCUCUUGGCUCUG
This 227-nucleotide unclassified non-coding RNA is filed under the name rhizosphere metagenome. Its description in RNAcentral is "partial ribosomal RNA internal transcribed spacer region". The record is from RNAcentral.